This is a long non-coding RNA of Phyllopteryx taeniolatus (common seadragon), 2319 nucleotides long. RefSeq lists it as uncharacterized. The record is from RefSeq and is a predicted model, not a curated record. The transcript has 2 exons. NCBI's taxonomy places the organism in Eukaryota, Metazoa, Chordata, Actinopteri, Syngnathiformes, Syngnathidae.
GCCACAUAAGCGCGUCGGUUAGCUGGGCUGCUCCAGCGCGCUGGCGUAUAGUCCUCAUUUUUAUGGUCAGAACAGCGACACAGAUUUCAGCUGUGUUUACGCUGAUGAUCAGACAUAUUAAAAAAAAAAGAAAGAAAGAAGUCAGCCAGGUGGAGGUGAGAGUGUUAAAAAAAUACAUUAUUGCAUGAUAAUGGAUGGAGUAAUUUGUCUUAGUUUCUUUUUUUAUGUAGUUGUUAAUCUGUACAUACUACAUUUGUCUAUUAUUCAAAUCCAAACAGUGACCUUGUAAACUUAUUCUUCUUUAUAUAGUUGGAGACUAGCAAAAAUGUUUGUGAUAUUCCUUUCUUCUGAUUAAAUACUUAUAUUGUAUUCAUACCAUUACAAAAUAUCUGUGCUUUUCUGACAAUAAACCAGACUUGUAUAAUGUAUUGGAUAAGUAGAUUAAUAGUAAUGAAUUAUUAUUAUUAUUAUCUAUUAGUGGCAAGGCAAGCCCGAUUUUGGGUCGCCCACCAAAUGGUCUUUUUCAAGGUCUAAAAAGUUCAAUGAAAUUUCAGAAGGGUCAUUUCCAAUAGUCAGCCACGGGCUCAGCCCACCCAAAGUACUCGAUCCCGACUCGCCCCUGCCUGAAACCCGUGUCAUGCAAUGUCUAAUCCCAUUUGUUGAUUUGUAAGAGUAAGGACAUCUUGUCUGUAAUUUAAGAUCUCAAUGUACUUUAUCUAGACCAAGGGUGGGAAAACUUUUGUGCUCAAGGCCCUUGAGCACAACCUUGAGUCAGGGGCCACAUUUGCUUUUUAAAAAGGGUAGAAUGGGACAGCUCAUUCGUAGAAGUUUUUUUUUUGGUUUGUUUUGAAAGAAAAAGAAACAUGGAUAUAGUUUAAUGUAAUAAUAUCCAUCUAUUUUCCAUACCGGAUAUCCCCAUUAGGGUCACAGGUAUUUUAAUAAUAAGUAAACUUUAUUUAAAAUGUAUUAAAUUACAUCUAUAGAGUAUGUACAGCACAUUUGUCUAUUCAUAUUAUUAAUGGAUUAUUUACAAUAAAGCAAUCAACCAGUUAUUUACUUCGAUAAAUGUCCAUCCAUCUAUCCAUUUUCUAUACCGAUCAUCCUACUGAGGGUCAUGGUGAGCAGGAGCCUAUCCCAGCUGACUCCAGGCGAAAAGCGGACCACACCCUGGACUGUCAGUUUCAGAGCACAUCACGAGACCGACAACCAUUCCCACAGUCACUGAGUGGGAACCGAACCCGCACUGCCUGCACAAAGGUCUAGGCUACAUCAUCAUUGAUGCAUAAAAAGAAAGUUAAAAAUGAAUAAUCCCGUUAUAAUUAACACAUUUUAGCUAAAUGAAUGUGGCAAAUAUGACAGGACCUUUGAUCAUGUAAAUGCUCGGUGGGCUGGGUUGAAGAACGGAAUGGAGUGCAUGUUGCCCGCGGGCCAGACUUUGUCCACCCCCUGAUCUAGAGCACAUGGAGAAUUAAAAAAUAAUAAUAAAUAAAUAAAAAGAACAUUGCCACUUACUUAAGAUUGACACAGUACUGUAUACAUUUUUGUGAUACCGUACCAAGUUCAAUCUUCAAAGAAGGCUUACAAUUCUUCAGGAUUCAAAUGUAAUUCCUUGCUACUAAUGAGGGGGUGGGGGGGGAUAAAAAUACAAGAAAUCCAGUGUCAACAACUUUAUUUUUGUUAUUGUUGUGCCUUGGUUGUUAUAAGACAAUGUUAUAAAUUGAUGGGGAAAAAUACACAUAUGUAAAAACAACCACCUCUAAAUUCUGCUUUACAGCUGAAUACACCUACAAUAUGUGUGUAUUAGGGAACUAAAAGAAGUCAAGGCAUGUCAGCAACCUUUGAUAUUUCUACCAGACCGCUCUUGUGCUGUGUGGAAUUUCUUUUUUACUUCCACAGAUUAAUAAGAUCAGUUGCAUUUACCCGAGCAAACCACAGGUCACAGUCCCCAGUAGAAUUUAGUUUGGACAAGGCAAGAAAAAAACAAUUUCCAUCUUUCACACACUUUGCUUCUGCCUUGGAACAAAGCAGCAUCGAAUGGGAAGAAAUCGAGUGCCGCCGGAGCACACAAAUCUAUCACAUUAGAAACAGUAUAAAUAUGCAAACAUUGGAAUAAUGGCACCCACAAGAAGGUCAAGAGUAAGAGCAUACAAAAAUUAAAGCUGAAGUCACACCAAGAGUCAGGUGAGAAAUGCUGAGAGAGAAACAUCAACCCUCAACAGAAAGGCAGAUGAUCUAAAACAUUGUUUAAUCUACAGUACGCUCUCUACCUCUACGUACACUUUGGCUGUUUUUCCCCUUUCUGCACGAGGCUGGGGGGGG